AACGGGUGAGUAACACGUGGGCAAUCUGCCCUUCACUCUGGGACAAGCCCUGGAAACGGGGUCUAAUACCGGAUAUCACUCCUGCAGGCAUCUGCGGGGGUCGAAAGCUCCGGCGGUGAAGGAUGAGCCCGCGGCCUAUCAGCUUGUUGGUGAGGUAGUGGCUCACCAAGGCGACGACGGGUAGCCGGCCUGAGAGGGCGACCGGCCACACUGGGACUGAGACACGGCCCAGACUCCUACGGGAGGCAGCAGUGGGGAAUAUUGCACAAUGGGCGAAAGCCUGAUGCAGCGACGCCGCGUGAGGGAUGACGGCCUUCGGGUUGUAAACCUCUUUCAGCAGGGAAGAAGCGAAAGUGACGGUACCUGCAGAAGAAGCGCCGGCUAACUACGUGCCAGCAGCCGCGGUAAUACGUAGGGCGCAAGCGUUGUCCGGAAUUAUUGGGCGUAAAGAGCUCGUAGGCGGCUUGUCACGUCGGGUGUGAAAGCCCGGGGCUUAACCCCGGGUCUGCAUUCGAUACGGGCAGGCUAGAGUGUGGUAGGGGAGAUCGGAAUUCCUGGUGUAGCGGUGAAAUGCGCAGAUAUCAGGAGGAACACCGGUGGCGAAGGCGGAUCUCUGGGCCAUUACUGACGCUGAGGAGCGAAAGCGUGGGGAGCGAACAGGAUUAGAUACCCUGGUAGUCCACGCCGUAAACGGUGGGAACUAGGUGUUGGCGACAUUCCACGUCGU
This 727-nucleotide ribosomal RNA is filed under the name Actinomycetales bacterium TLI094. RNAcentral's name for it is "bacterial SSU rRNA". It matches the Rfam family "Bacterial small subunit ribosomal RNA", at positions 101 to 840 of the family's 1533-position model. The record is from RNAcentral. Lineage: Bacteria; Bacillati; Actinomycetota; Actinomycetes; Actinomycetales.